UACAGAGGGGGCAAGCGUUGUUCGGAAUUACUGGGCGUAAAGGGCGCGUAGGCGGCCUUCUAAGUCGAACGUGAAAUCCCCGGGCUCAACCCGGGAACUGCGUCCGAUACUGGAAGGCUUGAAUCCGGGAGAGGGAUGCGGAAUUCCAGGUGUAGCGGUGAGAUGCGUAGAUAUCUGGAGGAACACCGGUGGCGAAGGCGGCAUCCUGGACCGGCAUUGACGCUGAGGCGCGAGAGCGUGGGGAGCAAACCGG
This 253-nucleotide ribosomal RNA is filed under the name uncultured bacterium. RNAcentral describes it as "partial 16S ribosomal RNA". It matches the Rfam family "Bacterial small subunit ribosomal RNA", at positions 524 to 776 of the family's 1533-position model. The record is from RNAcentral.